Molecule: microRNA precursor, 205 nt
Organism: Oryza sativa Japonica Group (Japanese rice)
Lineage: Eukaryota; Viridiplantae; Streptophyta; Magnoliopsida; Poales; Poaceae
Rfam family: MIR812 microRNA precursor family
Source: Rfam
AAUAAAUGACGCCGUUGACUUUUUCUCACAUGUUUGACCAUUCGUCUUAUUCAAAAAAAUUUACGUAAUUAUAAUUUAUUUUAUUAUGAGUUGUUUUAUCACUCAUAGUACUUUAAGUGUAAUUUAUAUCUUAUACAUUUGCAUAAAGUUUUUAAAUAAGACGAAUGGUCAAACAUGUGAGAAAAAGUCAACGGCGUCAUCUAUU